RNAcentral lists this transfer RNA (62 nucleotides) under Neotoma lepida (desert woodrat). It matches the Rfam family "tRNA", at positions 6 to 65 of the family's 71-position model. Rfam says of the family: Transfer RNA (tRNA) molecules are approximately 80 nucleotides in length. The record is from Rfam by way of RNAcentral. Lineage: Eukaryota; Metazoa; Chordata; Mammalia; Rodentia; Cricetidae.
CAUAGCUCAGUGGGUAGAGUGCUUGCUUUGNAUGCAUAAGGCUCUGAGUUCAGUCCUCAGUG